Non-coding RNA from Pelobates cultripes (western spadefoot toad), 239 nucleotides. NCBI's taxonomy places the organism in Eukaryota, Metazoa, Chordata, Amphibia, Anura, Pelobatidae. The record is from the annotation of a GenBank genome assembly.
AACUGCUUUAUUUAAGACAGCGCAGCAUUUACGUCACGACUGCCGUUCCCGUCCUCCACUGUUAUCGAUAUACAUGGGGCCGUGUGAAAUGUGUACGAAAGGUGAUAGGUGCCAAUACCCACCACUGUAGGUGAAAAACCCAAUGAUGAUACAUGGUCACAUUACCGGAGACCUUGUAGGGAGGUUCUAUAGACAUAUAACACAGAUGGCAUUAACCCCUUAAGGACACAUGACAUGUG